This 253-nucleotide ribosomal RNA is filed under the name uncultured bacterium. RNAcentral's name for it is "partial 16S ribosomal RNA". It matches the Rfam family "Bacterial small subunit ribosomal RNA", at positions 524 to 776 of the family's 1533-position model. The record is from RNAcentral.
GACGUAGGAUGCAAGCGUUGUCCGGAUUUAUUGGGCGUAAAGAGUUCGUAGGUGGUUUGUUAAGUCUGGUGUUAAAUACUGAAGCUCAACUUCGGAACUGCACUGGAUACUGGCAGACUUGAGUACGGUAGAGGCGAGCGGAAUUCCCAGUGUAGCGGUGAAAUGCGUAGAUAUUGGGAAGAACACCGGUGGCGCAAGCGGCUCGCUGGGCCGUUACUGACACUGAGGAACGAAAGCUAGGGGAGCAAAUGGG